RNAcentral lists this unclassified non-coding RNA (267 nucleotides) under Hevea brasiliensis (rubber tree). The record is from RNAcentral. Lineage: Eukaryota; Viridiplantae; Streptophyta; Magnoliopsida; Malpighiales; Euphorbiaceae.
UUUAACAGCAACAUCCUGACCAAGGUAAACUCCAUGAUACAGAUCUCCACAAGAUCCAGAUGCAAUUCUUUCCCCUAUCUUCAACAAUCGUCGAUCUAUUUCCCAAUCUCCAGAUUUUGCUUGAGCUGCUGAAGUUUUACCCGCAGCUGAAUGAGAAUGUGAGAACCAGACCAAGACCCCUCACUUCUAGCAAUUGCUUUUUCCAUAGCCUUAUACAAACAAUCUGUAUCCUCAUUAGGCCAUCCAUCCACCACAAAUACAUCCAAG